RNAcentral lists this ribosomal RNA (620 nucleotides) under Pantoea dispersa. RNAcentral's name for it is "bacterial SSU rRNA". It matches the Rfam family "Bacterial small subunit ribosomal RNA", at positions 61 to 670 of the family's 1533-position model. The record is from RNAcentral. Lineage: Bacteria; Pseudomonadati; Pseudomonadota; Gammaproteobacteria; Enterobacterales; Erwiniaceae.
GUCGAACGGCAGCACAGAAGAGCUUGCUCUUUGGGUGGCGAGUGGCGGACGGGUGAGUAAUGUCUGGGAAACUGCCCGAUGGAGGGGGAUAACUACUGGAAACGGUAGCUAAUACCGCAUAACGUCGCAAGACCAAAGUGGGGGACCUUCGGGCCUCACACCAUCGGAUGUGCCCAGAUGGGAUUAGCUAGUAGGUGGGGUAAUGGCUCACCUAGGCGACGAUCCCUAGCUGGUCUGAGAGGAUGACCAGCCACACUGGAACUGAGACACGGUCCAGACUCCUACGGGAGGCAGCAGUGGGGAAUAUUGCACAAUGGGCGCAAGCCUGAUGCAGCCAUGCCGCGUGUAUGAAGAAGGCCUUCGGGUUGUAAAGUACUUUCAGCGGGGAGGAAGGCGGUGAGGUUAAUAACCUUGCCGAUUGACGUUACCCGCAGAAGAAGCACCGGCUAACUCCGUGCCAGCAGCCGCGGUAAUACGGAGGGUGCAAGCGUUAAUCGGAAUUACUGGGCGUANAGCGCACGCAGGCGGUCUGUUAAGUCAGAUGUGAAAUCCCCGGGCUUANCCUGGGAACUGCAUUUGAAACUGGCAGGCUUGAGUCUCGUAGAGGGGGGUAGAAUUCC